GAGUUUGAUCUUGGCUCAGGACGAACGCUGGCGGCGUGCUUAACACAUGCAAGUCGUACGGGGCAGCAAUGCCCAGGGGCGAACGGGUGCGUAACACGUGAGAAAUCUGUCCAUCGGCGGGGGAUAGCCGGCCCAACGGCCGGGUAAUACCGCGUACGUCGGCGGGGGCGCAUGCUCCUGCCGGGAAAGCAGCAAUGCACCGAUGGAGGAUCUCGCGGCCUAUCAGCUUGUUGGCGGGGUAAUGGCCCACCAAGGCGACGACGGGUAGCUGGUCUGAGAGGAUGAUCAGCCACAUUGGGACUGAGACACGGCCCAGACUCCUACGGGAGGCAGCAGUGGGGAAUAUUGCGCAAUGGGCGAAAGCCUGACGCAGCGACGCCGCGUGUGGGAUGACGGCCU
RNAcentral lists this ribosomal RNA (399 nucleotides) under uncultured Gemmatimonadota bacterium. RNAcentral describes it as "bacterial SSU rRNA". It matches the Rfam family "Bacterial small subunit ribosomal RNA", at positions 9 to 417 of the family's 1533-position model. Lineage: Bacteria; Pseudomonadati; Gemmatimonadota. The record is from RNAcentral.